UAGUGUCCUUUUCCAAAUUUUCUGUUGAAGCUGUUACUGUUUGUAGCCAAAAAUUACUUCUUCUCCACCCCCAUUUCAGCACUGUUUUAUCUAUGCUCUUCCAGCACAACUAGCUGAAACAACUCUAAUCACCUAUUUUUACUGUUUGAGUUAGGGAGUGUUCACAGGACUCAUUUUGCCAGAAGAGCUGGAAUGCUUGCAGAAAGGGAAAAGGGAAAGGGAAAGCGAUACAAUUUCAGAGCUGCAAAAUAGCAGCUGAACACGAUAAUAUCAUCAGCUGGCAGAGGUGGCUGCACACUGAGCAUGUGUCUAUAGCCUAAAAGUACUGUUUUGUUUGGGGAUUUGUUUGUUUGUUGGUUGGAGUUUUGGUUUUUGAUGACUGCAGGAUCACUCUAACUGCUAAUACAAUUAAGAAAGAAAUUUCAGAAAAAAGAAUACUAAGUCCUCUGGUUUUUAAUUCCCUAAUGGGUUUUGGGAAGAAGUAGUUUGUGGCAACCAAGGAAGACAAACCUGAGUCCUUUGCUGCAUCCUUCCUCUUAUUUAAGAAGAUUUGUGAUUCUACAUCUAAAUCCAACAACUUUCCAUGUGGCCCUGGAUUCUCUCCACACCCUCCAAGAAGGGGGAUAUCUGAGUGAUUAAAGCAUCUGGGUCAUUCAUUCAAGUACUUCUGCAGACAUGAAUAGAAGGCCAUGCUUCAUCCUCCUGUAAAUGGGUCAUGACUAUUCAGACAAGAGUCUCAAAGGCAACCUGAAGAGAUGCUAACCAAAACAUAUGAAAAAUUUAACACACCUGAUGCAACUGAUCUCCUGGGCUCCAAGAAAAAAGUGAGGAUGUUUUCUUCAAAAUUAAUAUAUAUAUUUCUACAAAUACAGCUCAGUCAAAGCCAACCCAUGGUCAAUAGACUAUCCCAGGGUCUCACUGUCUUCAUGGCUGAAAACUUUCUUCUACUUUUCAAAUUAAAUUUAUUCAUUCUCAGUAAUUUUUUUGUUCUUUGGACAAAAUUUUUCUUCAGACUGCUCUUGCUCUUCACUGGUGUGUAGCCUAGUUCCCAUUUAUAGAUCGUAGCCUUGUUCCCUCAUCCUUAAUUGUGUUAAAAUUAACAAGCCAAGCUGUCUUGAUGUAAGACAAGCACUUCCAUUUCCCAGAUCACUGUUAGGGAACAAAGCAAUGAACAAGAAAUGAUUGCUUAUUGGCUUUUUAAAAAUAGGAAUUAGUGACAUUAGAAGAAUUAAAAAGUAUCGGUUUCCAAAAAAGCAAAAGCUGAUGUUUCUCCCACAUCUUGUGUCUGCAGAAAUCCCUGCUGCUGCUGCAGACAUGCUGAAAGCAAGCUGAAAGCAGUGAGUAGAAGAAGGUAUGGCAGGAAAUCCAGCAGAGGAAACAGUUGUUGGAAGAAAGCAAAAUCAGAGAUAAUGCCUCUUGCUCAGGAAGUUUUAAAUUGAAAUUUGCUGAAGACUGACAGUGUUUUGGGGAACUGUUACUCAUACUAUCUUACACUCUUUGUUAAGCUAAAAGAUUAACAAAGCUCUUGCUCACCAUCAGAAACACUCUAUUGCACUGCAAAUGCCUUUAGUCUGAUUCUUUAUGGCUUUUCUUAUCUUAACUAACAGUUUUUUACUGAAUCUCUCCCAGUCUGAGUGCAUUACUUUUGUAGCAGUUUAACUAGCACGGCAGUCAGUACUCCAGGUGAGUUUUCAGGGAGUCUAGUACUAUUGAAUUCUUCACUCUUCCCCAGUGAAUAUAUCUUCCCUGACACCACACAGACUUGUGUUUGACUCAUGAGUUCCCUGAUCAGCUGCCACGUCUGUGUCCUCUUUCUCCAAUCAAGUCACGUUCCCAGCUAUUUCAGAAUGGCCAAAACAAGGUGAAAUUUGCUGCAAGCACAGAUGUGUCGGCACAUGGACAUCCAGCAGCCAGGGAUGGUGUGAUGUCUCAGCUUCUCUGUGGAAUACUUGUCUUGCACAGAGUUUGUCAAGGACACAAUCACCCCUCUAGAUUGCUCAACACAGUGUGACCAAGACCUGAGGAGAGGCUCUGAGAGAGAAAAUUCUCCUCUGCUCAAUCCCAUGCUUCUGCAAGGGAGCUGCCUUCAAAUAAAGACAUUGCUGCUGCUGAGUGCUGUUCUGCAGGAAGUUUUGGGCUGAAAAGGCCUCCAUCUGUUAAGAUUUUUCCCAUACUGUUUCUGGGUGUUAUCUAGAUGGAGGGGAGACAUGGAGGAAUCCCAUAUUACACACAGGAGAACAGUCUUGGCCUCUCUGUUACAGCCACCUGAGAUUUUUAAAGUAAUUGAUACUAUUCUAAAACAAACAAAUAAAUGGAAGGAAUAUACUUUUGAGCUUUCUUAUAGAUGAGAUAGAAAAAAAAAUGUGUUCCUCAGAAAUGCCACACUAUAUUCAAUCACAUUUAAGAACAGGAAAUCAGCCAGUGGCCUCCUCACUUUCAGCUAAAUGUGUACACAGCUCCUGUUGAACAGGCUUUUAAACCUAGACAGAAUAACAACCUUGAAUUCAGGAGAACAACUAUUUCUAUUAAUCACUGUAAUAAAAACCUGCAAACUUGGCAACACUGUUUCACACAAAUGCCUCCUCAAUACACACUGGCAUCACCACCCCCAGUAUUACUCAGACAUUAUUAUUUUAUCAUUGCAGUGUCUCUUAAACAGGCAUCUUCUUAUUGCCUCACAGAGGAAACUAAUUAAUCCAAGUAUGAAUGUUCUUGAAACAAAUAUUUUAAAAUAAAUAUUGGCUCAGGUGGCCCUCUUUGUCCUAGAAGUUAACUCCUGUUUGGAAAAAUAAAAAAACUGAGUAUCAUAAAUAAGCCUUUAAUUUGGGUUUAAUGGAGGCCAUUGUUUUGGGCUGAUGCAUUCAUCUAUUAAAGAGAAACUUACACAGAUUUCAAACAGAGAAAUUCUUCUGUCACGUAGUUAAUAAAAAUUAAUAAUUAUUUCCUUAUCAAAUAAAUUUUGUGGGGAAUUCACACAUAACAAGAUGACUGGAAGAUGUAUUCAAAGAUGAAUUGGGUGGAUGGCUAUCCAGAAAUGCAGUUUUGGUCACUGCACAUGAAGUAAGUAAAUUCACAUUUGAGGGUAAAUUCUGAAACUUGAAUUCUGAGCACUUUGCUUGUAAAUCCCAUUGCCUAACACAUAAAACUAAAAUGAAAUGCAUGAAGUGCAACUCUUUGAAGGACUAAGCAUAUUCAAUUCCUUCUAAGUUGAGCUACCAUUUACAGCAAUCAUUCUUCUAGAAGGAGACUAGUUUGGAGUCACCUUCCUCAUCCUUGUUGCUCCUUAAAGGAUUCUUUUAAUUCAAGGGAAAUUUCAUGGAUUUCAAUAGUAAUGCCACUAGAGCUGCUAUUAUCUCUCUGAGCAGUAAUACAAGCAAAUACAGCCACUGCAAAAAUAGAAAAAUAAUUCCUACACGCAUCUCAUGCUUGUUAAAUCUUAUCGUGGCAUGCUGUGAUUAAUCUCUUGCAGAGAGUUUUUUUAAUUCUUAUUUAAGAAUAAAUAUCUGCAUUUCUUCAUAGUAAAUAAAUAAGCUUUUGUACCACCUCACUUGUGACAGAAAUGAAAAAGAAGCCAUGAAGUGAUAACAGUUAGUUUUGUUCCUCUACAGAUCAGACGUUUCAGAAACCCCAUGCUAGAUGAGCUGACCAUUCUUCUCACUCUGUAUUUUUGUUUGAUGGUUAAAUUUAUGUACAGAUUAGUUUCCAAUGGCUUUUGAUCACAUUUUAAGGACUAGAUCUAAAGCUGUUUGAGUGCAUACAGGUCUUGAUAUAUGGGAUGUGUUUUUUAAUAAAUAUCUUCCUGCAAGCA
Lonchura striata (white-rumped munia) is the source of this 3808-nucleotide long non-coding RNA. RefSeq lists it as uncharacterized. NCBI's taxonomy places the organism in Eukaryota, Metazoa, Chordata, Aves, Passeriformes, Estrildidae. The record is from RefSeq and is a predicted model, not a curated record.